GCCUACGGGGCGCAGCAGUGAGGAAUAUUGGUCAGUGGUCGGGAGACUGAACCAGCCAAGCCGCGUGAGGGAUGAAGGUACAGAGUAUCGUAAACCUCUUUUGUCAGGGAACAAAGGCGGGGACGCGUCCCCGGAUGAGUGUACCUGAAGAAAAAGCAUCGGCUAACUCCGUGCCAGCAGCCGCGGUAAUACGGAGGAUGCGAGCGUUAUCCGGAUUUAUUGGGUUUAAAGGGUGCGCAGGCGGUCUGUUAAGUCAGCGGUCAAAGCCCGGGGCUCAACCCCGGCCCGCCGUUGAAACUGGCAGU
RNAcentral lists this ribosomal RNA (305 nucleotides) under uncultured bacterium. RNAcentral describes it as "bacterial SSU rRNA". It matches the Rfam family "Bacterial small subunit ribosomal RNA", at positions 337 to 640 of the family's 1533-position model. The record is from RNAcentral.